Molecule: ribosomal RNA, 440 nt
Filed under: uncultured bacterium
Lineage: Bacteria
Description: partial 16S ribosomal RNA
Rfam family: Bacterial small subunit ribosomal RNA
Source: RNAcentral
CCUACGGGUGGCAGCAGUGGGGAAUAUUGCACAAUGGGGGAAACCCUGAUGCAGCGACGCCGCGUGAGCGAUGAAGUAUUUCGGUAUGUAAAGUUCUAUCAGCAGGGAAGAUAAUGACGGUAUCUGACUAAGAAGCCCCGGCUAACUACGUGCCAGCAGCCGCGGUAAUACGUAGGGGGCAAGCGUUACCCGGAUUUACUGGGUGUAAAGGGAGCGUAGACGGGAGUGCAAGCCAGAUGUGAAAGCCCGGGGCUCAACCCCGGGACUGCAUUUGAAACUGUGUGGCUGGAGUGUCGGAGAGGCAGGCGGAAUUCCUGGUGUAGCGGUGAAAUGCGUAGAGAGUAAGAGGAACACCAGUGGCGAAGGCGGCCUGCUGGACGAUGACUGACGUUGAGGCUCGAAAGCGUGGGGAGCAAACAGGAUUAGAUACCCGAGUAGUC